This 582-nucleotide ribosomal RNA is filed under the name Triticum aestivum (bread wheat). Its description in RNAcentral is "partial small subunit ribosomal RNA". Lineage: Eukaryota; Viridiplantae; Streptophyta; Magnoliopsida; Poales; Poaceae. The record is from RNAcentral.
AUGAUUGACACAAAUUUCCCCAUCAUGAGCUGGAACAUCCGAGGUCUAAACACGCCGACGCAACGCGCAGUAGUUUGUGAGAUGACAGAUGCUCAUAGGCUAGCUAUCCUCUUCCUCCAGGAGACUAAAAUCAAAGCCUGGAGUGGCCCCCUGGUCAAGGACAUCGGCGGAGCAAGGCUAACUGAUUGCAUCGUGCUCCCCGCCUCCGGCACCAGGGGCGGCCCUGCAAUCUUCUGGGACAACUCUGUAGUAGAUGUGCAAUCGCAUGCUAUCGGCCUUUUCUCCAUCACUGCCCGCGUCACCCUGAGAACAACUUCAACAAUGUUUUGGCUGACCACGGUGUACGGCCCCGUUGACGAUAGUAGAAAGGACGAGUUCUUGUUAGAGGUAGCUAGGACGGCGCCGCCACCAAACGACCCCUGGCUUAUCAACAAUGAUUUCAACCUCAUAUACAAGGCUAGUGACAAGAACAAUAGCAACAUCAACCGUAGAAUGAUGGGCAAAUUCCGUGCGGCGAUCGACGCCGCGGGACACCGGGAGAUCAGAUGCAAAAACCGUCGUUUCACUUGGAGUAACGAGUGA